This is a long non-coding RNA of Cajanus cajan (pigeon pea), 308 nucleotides long. RefSeq lists it as uncharacterized. NCBI's taxonomy places the organism in Eukaryota, Viridiplantae, Streptophyta, Magnoliopsida, Fabales, Fabaceae. The record is from RefSeq and is a predicted model, not a curated record.
AAAAAAACAAAACAAAACAAAAAUCAUGGAUCGAAAAAUAAGCAAUAUAUAUAUGAACACGAGAUUAAUCUUUAACAGAGAGGCUAGCUUUCUCAUCUGACACUACAAAGAACGUUGUUAAGCAGAGAUAAUGGAGAGGAAUCUCUGUCCAAAAGAGAAACUAUCAUGAAAAUGCAACCACUUUGGAAAGACUGAAGAGCUUAACAAUUCCUAAAAUUGAUAGCACUUGGUUUGAAAUACUCCAUCAAAAUCAAUAUUUUCAUCCAUAAAAUAUUUUCUCCAUUUUUAUAAAGUGCAUUUGUUCAUCA